AGCGAACGUUAGCGGCGGGCCUAACACAUGCAAGUCGAACGCGAAAGGUCUUCGGACUGAUUAGAGUGGCGCACGGGUGAGUAACACGUAGGUAAUCUACCCUUGGCGGGGAUAACGUUCCGAAAGGAGCGCUAAUACCGCAUAAGACCACGGAGUCUCCGGACGCUGUGGGAAAAGGUGGCCUCUUCUUGAAAGCUAUCACCGGAGGAUGAGCCUGCGUCCCAUCAGCUAGUUGGUAAGGUAAUGGCUUACCAAGGCAAAGACGGGUAGCUGGUUUGAGAGAAUGAUCAGCCACACUGGCACUGGAACACGGGCCAGACUCCUACGGGAGGCAGCAGUGAGGAUAUUGGGCAAUGGGC
Molecule: ribosomal RNA, 359 nt
Filed under: uncultured bacterium
Lineage: Bacteria
Description: bacterial SSU rRNA
Rfam family: Bacterial small subunit ribosomal RNA
Source: RNAcentral